RNAcentral lists this long non-coding RNA (771 nucleotides) under Pan troglodytes (chimpanzee). RNAcentral's name for it is "lncRNA (ENSPTRG00000053146.1)". The record is from RNAcentral. Lineage: Eukaryota; Metazoa; Chordata; Mammalia; Primates; Hominidae.
CAGCUUGAUGCUAACACUGCAUGAAAGUAUGGAUAACUUUAUCAUAUUUACAUACGAGUGAUUAUGUGUCCCUUUUGGUUUUCUGUGUCUUCUCAGAAACAACCAGCCUUGAAGGAUACAAAUGACAAGAAAGACUCUGUUUCGAACAUAGCCACAGAACUAAAAGAUGAACAAAAAUCUGGGACAGUGCUUCCUGCUGUUGAACAGUGUUUAAACAGGAGUCUCUACAGACCGGAUGCUGUUGCACAGCCUGUGACAGAGGAUGAGUUUGCUUUGGAAUCUGCAGUAGAGUACUCUCUUGUGAAAUUAAUUUUCUCACUCUGAAUCUCAUUUUUUAUAUUAUUUUCUUCUAAAACUUAGCAGUUGUCUACCUAUCAUUGUUUUAUGUUAGUAUUAAAACUUUUAUUAGAGAUAACCAUUUUAAAGAAAUGGGAGGGGUUAAUUUUAAUUUUUUUUUACUUUGGCAAAUAACAAAUAGCUCAUAAAUUCUUUGAGAGGUGUGAUCUGAAAAAAAAUUUGCUGGAAAAUACACAGUGACAGAAAAAUGGUGUUCGGUGACGCUUUCCCACAAUAGAGGAGAUACAAAUUUUGGUCUAGGCUUAUUUGAGUGUUUUUACUUUGAGUUGUAUAUCAUAUGAGUAUGACUAAUAAUACCUCUGUUUAAAUGAAUCUUUAAUACAUCAGAUGACUUAUCAUAGAAAUCAUGGAAUCACUCUGUUACACAUAGCAUGUGGUUUCUUUUUAUUUCUUGUACACAUAUUUUGAUAUCAU